UCCGGGGGAUUCCUCGGCGCGGUUUUCUCCAAGUUUACGGCCGUGCGGUUCGAUUGGACGCCCGUGAGUUCCCCGACAAGGGUCGGCGACAAAACGGACUCGACGUUUCGAGUAAUCGUCUUCAAAAGCUCCGGGUUUGCGCCUACGGAAAAUUAACGAUCGAUUAAAGUUCUCGCGUUCAUCCCCCAAAUUAUCGCGGGGAUUGAGGGUAGGAUUCGUUCGUUCGAUUUACCGGGAGAUUCUUGUGCCGUGGACGGUGGGAGCACGUUCGUCCAUACCGUGCAGCAUAACAGGAUCUGAAAGAGGAGAGAGAGAGAUCAGUGUGAAGCCCGUGAUAUUUAUGAUCGAUGUACUAACACUAAUUGCAGGUACCACUCGACGUAUUCCACGUACAUAAAUAGCAUUCACAACGGAUGCCACGGUUAUGGAUCUAAAAACGUUGACAUUUCGUCGGAUCAGCGAUCGAGAAAUAGACAACGUACGUCACAAUACGUCAUCUGCGAUCAACUUUUCUAUACAAACCCCAUUAAUCGAUCUUAGCCGCUUCGGAAGCAAAUCCAAGGUUUCACUGAAUUUUGUUAUUUCAACCGCAGCUGGGAUGUACUCACCUGUCGCAGGUUCCUCUACGAGGAGUAGGUAUUGCGAACAUUCGCGCAAUUCUGUGUACAUGUGACUCGACGCAGGAGAUACGGAGUGGUUGGUGGGCCGACAGGAACUACGAAUUAAAAGUUACGGCACCCGUUGGGGCGUAAAAACUACAUUCGAACUCUUCGCUCCUCGGUUCAUCGUUCAACGCUGGCGUCCUUGUACGACGUGAUCGCGUCGGGUCAAACGGACAACUGUACAUCGCUAGUAGCCGACUUGGUGGAUCAUUCCUACGACGCCAGGCGCCACGACGCCGGGGUGGUUGAAGAUCUGGACGGGGGCGACAGCCCCUGCGCGAG
Molecule: long non-coding RNA, 944 nt
Organism: Athalia rosae (coleseed sawfly)
Lineage: Eukaryota; Metazoa; Arthropoda; Insecta; Hymenoptera; Athaliidae
Exons: 4
Source: RefSeq, a predicted model, not a curated record